This 445-nucleotide ribosomal RNA is filed under the name uncultured soil bacterium. RNAcentral's name for it is "bacterial SSU rRNA". It matches the Rfam family "Bacterial small subunit ribosomal RNA", at positions 26 to 518 of the family's 1533-position model. The record is from RNAcentral.
AGAGCGAACGCUGGCGGCAGGCCUAAUACAUGCAAGUCGAGCGGUCCCUUCGGGGGCAGCGGCGGACGGGUGAGUAACGCGUGGGAACGUGCCCUUUGGUACGGAACAACUGAGGGAAACUUCAGCUAAUACCGUAUGUGCCCUUCGGGGGAAAGAUUUAUCGCCAUUGGAGCGGCCCGCGUUGGAUUAGGUAGUUGGUGAGGUAAAGGCUCACCAAGCCUACGAUCCAUAGCUGGUCUGAGAGGAUGAUCAGCCACACUGGGACUGAGACACGGCCCAGACUCCUACGGGAGGCAGCAGUAGGGAAUCUUGCGCAAUGGGCGAAAGCCUGACGCAGCCAUGCCGCGUGAAUGAUGAAGGUCUUAGGAUUGUAAAAUUCUUUCACCGGGGACGAUAAUGACGGUACCGGAGAAGAAGCCCCGGCUAACUUCGUGCCAGCAGCCGC